RNAcentral lists this unclassified non-coding RNA (226 nucleotides) under Hevea brasiliensis (rubber tree). The record is from RNAcentral. Lineage: Eukaryota; Viridiplantae; Streptophyta; Magnoliopsida; Malpighiales; Euphorbiaceae.
GGGGAUCCUUGUUGUAUCCAACUACUCAUAUAUAGUGUUGCUCCUACCUUUCAACGUUAUAGAAACCACGUUGCAGUAACUGCCUCCUACUUUUAAUUAUAGUGCUGCUUUUGCUCAUUAUCCACAUUGCGGUAACUGCUGUCUUAUCAUUUAGCUUUGGCGUUGCUUUUGCCCGUCAUCCACAUUGCAAUAAUUGUUGUCCAUCUUUUAACCAUUCACUUACUAC